GCCCAUUUGUCUCAGUGGGAGAGCACUCCCUUGGUAAGGGAGAGGUCCCGGGUCCGAUUCCCGGAAUGGGCACCA
This 75-nucleotide transfer RNA is filed under the name Rhodoferax sp. Its description in RNAcentral is "tRNA-Thr". It matches the Rfam family "tRNA". Rfam says of the family: Transfer RNA (tRNA) molecules are approximately 80 nucleotides in length. Lineage: Bacteria; Pseudomonadati; Pseudomonadota; Betaproteobacteria; Burkholderiales; Comamonadaceae. The record is from RNAcentral.